AAAACUUUUUCGAAAGAAAAAAUCUGUUCUUAUCAGUUUAAUAUCUGAUACGUCCCCCAUCCGGGGACUACAUAUUAAAUGGAUUUUUAGAUCACGGAGCUGGAGCCGGGGCUUGCUCCGUCCACUCCAUGCAUCGGCCUGGUAUUGCAGUGUCUCCAGGAACGGUGUGCUUUCC
Small nuclear RNA from Carassius auratus (goldfish), 175 nucleotides. Its record names the gene U2. It matches the Rfam family "U2 spliceosomal RNA". Rfam says of the family: U2 is a small nuclear RNA (snRNA) component of the spliceosome (involved in pre-mRNA splicing). Complementary binding between U2 snRNA (in an area lying towards the 5' end but 3' to hairpin I) and the branchpoint sequence (BPS) of the intron results the bulging out of an unpaired adenosine, on the BPS, which initiates a nucleophilic attack at the intronic 5' splice site, thus starting the first of two transesterification reactions that mediate splicing. The record is from Ensembl. Lineage: Eukaryota; Metazoa; Chordata; Actinopteri; Cypriniformes; Cyprinidae.